This 473-nucleotide unclassified non-coding RNA is filed under the name uncultured Glomus. RNAcentral describes it as "SSU rRNA". It matches the Rfam family "Eukaryotic small subunit ribosomal RNA", at positions 569 to 1046 of the family's 1831-position model. Lineage: Eukaryota; Fungi; Glomeromycota; Glomeromycetes; Glomerales; Glomeraceae. The record is from RNAcentral.
AGCAGCCGCGGUAAUUCCAGCUCCAAUAGCGUAUAUUAAAGUUGUUGCAGUUAAAAAGCUCGUAGUUGAAUUUCGGAAUCUGUCCGUCGGUCGGGCUUCACUGUCCGUACUGGUGUGGUGGGUUCUUACCUUCUGAAUAACCAGCAUGCCAUUCAUUUGGUGCGCUGGGGAAGCAGGACUAUUACCUUGAAAAAUUAGAGUGCUCAAAGCAGGCUAGUGCCUGAAUACAUUAGCAUGGAAUAAUAAAAUAGGACGGCAUGGUUCUAUUUUGUUGGUUUCUAGGAUCACCGUAAUGAUUAAUAGGGAUAGUUGGGGGCAUUAGUAUUCAAUUGUCAGAGGUGAAAUUCUUGGAUUUAUUGAAGACUAACUUCUGCGAAAGCAUUUGCCAAGGAUGUUUUCAUUAAUCAAGAACGAAAGUUAGGGGAUCGAAGACGAUCAGAUACCGUCGUAGUCUUAACAUAAACUAUGCCGAC